This 201-nucleotide long non-coding RNA is filed under the name Mytilus galloprovincialis (Mediterranean mussel). The record is from RNAcentral. Lineage: Eukaryota; Metazoa; Mollusca; Bivalvia; Mytilida; Mytilidae.
GGGGGGGUCAUUGCCAAAAAUGUCAUACCACUGGGGGGUUACCAUAAAAAAAUAUUUUAACUAGGGGGGGUCACACAAUAAAGGUUUUUAUGUCUGACUAGUAUAUAAAUUGUUGACAAAAUUGAAAUGAGUGUGCGAUCUGUGAAAUAAUGUCUGUUUAUUAAAUCUUUGAUAGUGUAAACUGUAAAGCACCAGCAGGAU